This is a non-coding RNA of Pelobates cultripes (western spadefoot toad), 367 nucleotides long. Lineage: Eukaryota; Metazoa; Chordata; Amphibia; Anura; Pelobatidae. The record is from the annotation of a GenBank genome assembly.
GUUUAGGAAUUGCCCCUCUUUUUUUAACUUGUAUUUGUUUAGGUGAUGUUUUCCGUGCCUUUUUAUUCUGCAUUUGAAAGUGAUAAACACCCAAUCACUGACAUUUUGAAUCAACAGUAAAUUGGAAUUUAUCAAAAUGGCCAGACUUUGCAUUCAGUCAGGGUUGUUCAAAGUGAAAAAUCAAAGUGAAUUUAAAAGGAUUGGCCAAAGUAUCUGAACUGAAAGCAUAGCUGACUUACGAUGACCUUAGCUAAUCUAAUGCUACCCCAUAGGGAAGCAUUGUAGGCUUGAGAGCAUGCACAGCAAAAUGCCAAGCUACACCAAUCAAAGGCUCAUUAAACAACGAGUCAAACUCACCAGACGUGCC